CCAGCGGCUCGUGCCAGAAGGCCACGUGGGGAGGGGUGCGGGGGAUGACAAUGCCUCAAAUCUGCCGCUUUUGUUGGGGUGUUACCAGGCAGACUGGAGCCUGCAGAUUUCAUCUCGCCUGGCUUUUUUUUUUUUUUGAAGUCCUUAAAAGGAAAAAGUAAAAAAAAAAAAAAAAGAAAAAACCCAACCCACAAAAACCUUGUUUGCUUAUAUGAUGCUGCAAUUUGCGAAAAGCACCUUUAUAGAAGCAAAGGGAUUUUUUUUUGCAUUUUGUAUUGCUACCUUUCUAUUUGUUUCUUUUCUUUAAUUUGAAGUCUAUGAGACUGUUGCAUUGGAGCCAGAAAUUAAGGUAAAAACAGGUAGCGCCAGUUAGAGGCUUGCAAAAGGCAGUGGGCACAGCCCCCUGCAGCUGACCACUAGCGUCCCGAGCGCGCUGGUGAUGCCUGCCAGGCAUACUCAAUGUGUACAUUGAGCCGUCUCUGGAAGAUCCCACCCCACCUCCCCGCCCUUGGCCGAGCGCGGCGGGGCGCGGGAGACGGGGGCGGGCGGGGACGAGCAGAUUGCGGCCGGCGCACGCCGCUCGUUUGCAUUUCUAUGGAGGGCGCACAAUAGCAGAGGUCUGGCGUGUGGCGGUUUGCUGUAGGGACAAUCGAGGCUUUCUCUUCAUAGCAACACUGUCCACCUGCCGCCGGGUGGGGUGGGCAGGACCCCGCCGCGCGUGGGGGUCGCCGGGCUGCCUGGCGCGUGGGGUCGAGGCUGAGUGCCACUCCGUGGUCCCUGAGUGCACGCCCCCAGUACUGGCCCUGCUACAAGUAAUUCCCUUCCAUCCGUUCCUCGCACGGGUGCCGAACAGCCGCGCGAGUUGGGAAGGACGGAGAGCUGCUGUGCAGUCUUCGCGGCUGGACGCCCUGUGGCCGGGACCCCGCGGCUGCAGCCCCUGGAGCUUAGGUAAUGCAGCUCGGAAUCUUUCCCGGGGCGCCAUCUGCAGGCAGGUUAAAAAGAUCCUGAACCCCUUUUGUCCUCCCCUCCCCCCAACACACACACCCUUGCAUUGGCCUGGCGCGGGGGAAGGGCGGUGGAGAGGGACGGCCACGGAGCUGCCCGGCCGGGCCCAGUGAGCCCUGUCCAAGCUGCGCAUAAAUAGAACCCGAGUAAGGGCUGCAAAACGCAUUCAGGUGGGACUGCAGUUACCCUGGGGAGUAGAGGGCAAAAGGAAAUUCCCAUCCAGUACUGAUGGAGUAAGAGCCCCUACGUCUUAUACCAUGUUGAAAUAUCUUAAUUACUUAAAUGCGCAUAUGUAAAAAGCCUUUUUUCCGGCAAUGGAAUAAGUCUGGAAGAGAUCUUGGGAGAGUUUAAUAGGCUAGAGGUUGCUGCCGUUUGACCAUACACGCUGGCACUUUCAGAGGAUUCACCCACUGAGCACCUUCUGUGCUACGUGAAAAGGCGCGCUGGGGGACACCUCAUUGCUUCCUUUUUUUGGGUGAAGCCUUGGAGACUGGCCAGGACAGUGGCGGGCCGGGUGGAUUGGAUGGAAACCCGGGCCCUGCCGCAAGACUGGGGCGAUAAUGGGAAAGUAAACAACGCCGUGGCUUUGUUCCUUUCAUUCAGGCUUUCUUCAGGUGGGUGGUGAAUGUACAAGGUACUUCUGAAUUUGUUAUGGGGAAGUUUCCAUUCUGCGCUUGCAGGCAGGCACUUCUGCCAAGGUGAGAAGCUGGCGUCUUGCGCCCCCCAGCGGCUUCCUGGCAGAGGAGAGCUGCAAAAGCCCGGCCCUUCCUGGAUUCUAAGAAUGAAGAGCUUGCUCUCCUAGCAUUUCUGAACUCCAGAGGUGUCUCCUAAGGACGGGGGGAGAGGGGAGGGGGAAGCGGAGCCAGGCGGCAUUAUGCCCCGUUUGUUCGCUAGUUUCUUUUCUUUCUUGAUGUAUAAAAUGAUGAUAUGCCUUGAUUGGAUAAAAUAUGUUAAUUUUAAGUGAUUGGAAUAUAGGUAUUACUCUUUUAAAACUAUUAAACUUUUCUUUUCUUUUCUUUUCUUUUUUGAGACGGAGUCUCGCUCGGUUGCCCAGGCUGGAGUGCGGUGGCACAAUCUCGGCUCACUGCAACCUCCGCCUCCCGGGUUCAAGCGAUCCUUCUGCUUCAGCCUCCCGAGUAGCUGGGACUACAGGGUGAAGCAUGAAUCUGCACAUGGGGAGGCUUCAGAGGACAACUGAGACAAGAAGCAGGAAGCUGAGAAAGGAGGACACCUCCCACACACACAUCUAGCAAAAGCUGGACAUUUCUGGUCAGUCAUCCUUAUGCAAAGACUUUCUGGAAGGAGCAGUUAUUCUUGGUAAGAAAUGAUUCAUGGCACCUGUCACAGUCCUAGGUAGUGACAGACACCAGCCUGCACUGUAGCUGAAAACCCCUGAGAAGCCACAGAUGUGCAGUCUUCCCAGCUUGACUACAUGCCCAAGUCUUCUGAACCUUAGUUUCCCAACCUAGGAAAUAAAAAUUGUGCCCUUUACCCCUCAUGAACCUUAUUGGGGUCUUAUAAGAUUGCUCCUGGUUGCCAUUUGGCCCACAGAUGGGUUUAGUUUGGUGGACAGUGUCCCGAAAGACUUACAAAUUCAGAUCUGACUUGUUCAUUUGUGUAGGGGAGAGUUGGUGGCACACAUCCUCUCUGUCACUGUAAGUAUGUUCCAAAUGUCACAUUAGGUCCACUGGCACGUGUAAGCCCUGUCUGGCAUUUGCCUGGUCCCUGCAGGCAUUUGGGUUGGCAGUAAACUUUCUUUUCUAACAGAUUUCUGGAAAUGUUUACAUGUAGCAUAUAAUAGAAUAAUAGAACCACAGAACUUCCACAGUAAAGCCUUCCUUCUUUUAUGUUCCAAAAGCUAAAAUGUACUAACAACCUCCAAAAGGCACUAUGACAUUGGAGUUUAAACUUUGUGGAGCAGGACUCAAAGCUGGACUUAGCUGCUUGCUAACUUUGACCUUGAGUGAAGAGUUAGCAGAUGAUUUAAAGUGUAAAGUAGAAAGAAUUCAUGCUGGUUAGCCCAUUAAAUACCCGUUAAUUAAGCUCUCCAAAAACGCCAUUCAAAAAUGUAUAUGAUAAUCAAAUAUUUAUUGCAAUGUUUCUUAAAAUAGUGAAAAAUUAGAAAACAUUAUAGGGGGCUAGUGUUAAAUCAUGGUGUAACCAGAAAUGAAACAUUAUGCAACCAUAAAAAGGAGUUCUGAAGAGUAGUUCCCGGCAUGAUAUAAUGUGAAAAAAAGCAAAAUACGAAAUUGUGCAAUUCUAAUUUUGCAAAAACUUUCAGCGUACACGACUAUCACUGUAUAAAGUCACAAAGUAGGAAUGGUGAUUGUAUCUUGGAGUGAUGAGAUUAUAAGUGAUUUUUAAUUUUCUUCACUAUGCUUUACUGCAAUUAAACAUUUACAAUUCAAUUUUAUUUAACAAAAAUAUAUAAAACUUCUCAAAUGGAGUAACUUCAGUACCAGACAUCCUCAACCUGACUGCUCUGGAGGUUAUUGUGCAGAGCAAUCUUUGACCAUAUGGUCACAGAUCCAGAAGCCAGACGUCUGUGGGGCUUUGCUCCUGAGACUGUGACCUUUGAUUCCUGCACUCCUCCUCUUGCCAUCUGACGCCGGUCUGCGCCUGUGACUGAGUGAAAAUCGUCAUAACUGUACUCGGAGGUUAACUCUGGCAUGACUGGGAUGGAAUCCCAGGCAACAUGCUGGAGGCAGGAAAGAAGGCCAGCCGGCAAGUCAGAACCAAACACCCUGGACGGCACCUUUCCUUACAAAUGCGGUUCACAGGACCCUUGGGGAUCCUCUGCGCACACUGAGGCAAGCAGCAAUGGAAGAAAUUAUCUUCCACUCCCUUCUUGUUGAAAAUGUCUGUUUUCCAGAAAUGAAUUACAGUAAUAGAUUAUGAAAAUUGUUUCCAUUGCCUACAUAACACAGCAGGGAAUUCUAAAAUUUCAAAACAUGUAAUAUACUCAACCUGUGCUUGAGACUGUAGGGUAUUA
RNAcentral lists this long non-coding RNA (3997 nucleotides) under Homo sapiens (human). Its description in RNAcentral is "HSALNT0353494". The record is from RNAcentral. Lineage: Eukaryota; Metazoa; Chordata; Mammalia; Primates; Hominidae.